GGAUAUGAGGGCUGAUCAUGACUGUCAAGGUGAAUGCCUCAACCUCCCUCAAAUGGCUCAAUGCACAUCCCUCCUGAAGCUGCAGCCUCUGUCAGAGAAAAUAACUUUUCCAAAGAGAUAAGCACUAUUUUUGAUUUAGGGUAUAAAUGGGACUAAGAUUCACUAGGGAAUCCUAAGGAUAAACCUAUGAGUCUUAGCCAAGUGUAAAUGGUCCCCAAUCAAUAAUUAUGGUUCAUGAAAAUAUAUUAGGCUAGCCUCUUGGAUCCUAAGAAUAUUUU
RNAcentral lists this small RNA (278 nucleotides) under Tursiops truncatus (common bottlenose dolphin). RNAcentral's name for it is "7SK RNA (ENSTTRG00000024624.1)". Lineage: Eukaryota; Metazoa; Chordata; Mammalia; Artiodactyla; Delphinidae. The record is from RNAcentral.